This 71-nucleotide transfer RNA is filed under the name Loxodonta africana (African savanna elephant). It matches the Rfam family "tRNA". Rfam says of the family: Transfer RNA (tRNA) molecules are approximately 80 nucleotides in length. Their secondary structure includes four short double-helical elements and three loops (D, anti-codon, and T loops). Further hydrogen bonds mediate the characteristic L-shaped molecular structure. tRNAs have two regions of fundamental functional importance: the anti-codon, which is responsible for specific mRNA codon recognition, and the 3' end, to which the tRNAs corresponding amino acid is attached (by aminoacyl-tRNA synthetases). tRNAs cope with the degeneracy of the genetic code in two manners: having more than one tRNA (with a specific anti-codon) for a particular amino acid; and 'wobble' base-pairing, i.e. permitting non-standard base-pairing at the 3rd anti-codon position. The record is from Rfam by way of RNAcentral. Lineage: Eukaryota; Metazoa; Chordata; Mammalia; Proboscidea; Elephantidae.
ACAUUGGUGGUUCGGUGGUAGAAUUCUCACCUUCCAUGCUGAAGACUUGGGUUCCAUUCCCAACCAGUGCA